UCUGCUAUUGUUUACUUUGAACCUUAUCGCAUACUUUUUCCAAGAACUAUGAUUUUCUACAUCUCCAGAGCAACUAUGAAUCCUACAAGAAACACAGCAGUUUGGUCAUCUGAAGAAUUAAGUAAAUUUUCGUUUGAAGGUCAUCAUAUGAUUUCAAAUACAUUUAUAUGCCAACAGUUAUUUUUCUGCAGUUGAAAACUCAAAGUAUAAAAGAAGAACCAAAUUGACUGACGAGCAUCUACAAUUCCUGGUGAAAAUAAUUUCUAAUUAUUCGUUUCUAAGGUUAUAAACCUUACCAAAACCUAAACACCAUGACAUGUUUCGUUUUAGGUAGUUGAAAGGUGUAAAAAAUAAAGAAAUUAAUAAUUCUUUAUUCAUAAAUAUAUGUACUUUUUCUGUGUGCAUCGAGGGAAAUUUCAAUAAAUACAAGAAAGGGUA
Molecule: long non-coding RNA, 438 nt
Filed under: Stegodyphus dumicola
Lineage: Eukaryota; Metazoa; Arthropoda; Arachnida; Araneae; Eresidae
Description: uncharacterized LOC118191860, transcript variant X2
Source: RNAcentral